UCUUUGUUUGUCUGUUUAGUUUGCUGUUGAUGCAUUGAAUCCUGGGAUAUCCUUGGCCCGUGAAGAUACACGAAGGCGUCCUCGGAUUUCGAGAUGUUUUGGGCCGCAUUCCUCGGUCGCAUGAUGAAGAGCCUUCAUAUUGGGACUCCACUUGGCGUGGGGCAGUGACGUAUGCAGCCGACAAAUGUGCACUCAAGAGCAUGCAGGCCAUGAAUUAAGACACUGCAUGUAACAUCUCCUCGUUAGUAUAGUGAGCCACGCAAAUACAUAAAUCUGGAGUGCAGUGUGAUUUCAGUGAGACGCAGCUGAUGGGUCGCCAAAUGGAGUCUGGUUUAAGCGAGGAGGCGAGGCAAAGUGUGAAAACACACAUCGAAAACUUGAAAAAGUUUUGGCCAGAAUUUGUGAAACGUUUGUGAACUGUGUUAAUAAAAUCAUCUUAAACUUA
Long non-coding RNA from Austrofundulus limnaeus, 445 nucleotides. RefSeq lists it as uncharacterized. The record is from RefSeq and is a predicted model, not a curated record. Lineage: Eukaryota; Metazoa; Chordata; Actinopteri; Cyprinodontiformes; Rivulidae. The transcript is spliced from 3 exons.